UGCCUUAUGUAAAAUUAUAUAAGGUAAAUUCUGCCCAGUGAUUCUAUAUUAAACGGCCGCGGUAUCUUGACCGUGCAAAGGUAGCAUAAUCAUUUGCCUCUUAAUUAGAGGCUAGUAUGAAUGAAUAAACAAAGAACUCCUCUCUUAUACUUAAUUGUAAAAACUUAUAUUUAGGUGAAGAAGCCUAAAUAAAAAAAAAAGACAAGAAGACCCUAUCAAGCUUUAAUUUAAUUAUUAAUAUUAAAUAAUAUAAAAUUUUUAUUGGGGCAAUAGAAAAUAAAAGUAAUCAUUUUCAUUACUAAAGAAUUAUAAAUCUAAUUAAUUAACUUAAAAAUAUCAAAAAGAAAGCUACUGUAGGGAUAACAGGCUAAUAUUUUUCAAGAGCUCUUAUCAACAAAAAUGCUUGGCACCUCGAUGUUGGCUUAAGAAACCUUAAUUGUGCAGAAGCAAUUAAAGGGGGUUUGUUCAACCCUUAAAUUCUU
Molecule: ribosomal RNA, 482 nt
Filed under: Odontosyllis gibba
Lineage: Eukaryota; Metazoa; Annelida; Polychaeta; Phyllodocida; Syllidae
Description: partial 16S ribosomal RNA
Rfam family: Bacterial large subunit ribosomal RNA
Source: RNAcentral